This 677-nucleotide non-coding RNA is filed under the name Trichinella pseudospiralis. Lineage: Eukaryota; Metazoa; Nematoda; Enoplea; Trichinellida; Trichinellidae. The record is from RNAcentral.
AGUUGUAAUCUCCUGUAAUCAUAACUAAAUCAACUAAGCUUUGAUGUAUCUAGCACAAACUAAUAUUAUGCAAGACCACCUGCCAUAGUUAGAGAUCUAAGUGAUAAAUAGUGUGCCAGCUAUCGCGGUUAUACACUAACUUAAGGUUAAUUCCUAUCAGCUGUUUAGAUUAUCAAACAACAAUUAAAAUCCUAAUAGUGAAAAGUAUAUAUUCAACACUACUAUACAUCUAACCACCCAAAGUUAAAUCAAGAGACAAGGAUUAGAUACCCUUCUAUCCUAAACCUAAGCUAACCAGGAAGUAAUAUCAAAUAAAAACCUAAUUAGAAUGGCGGUAAGAAAUCCACCGGAGAAGGCUGUACCAUAAUCGACAACCCUCGUUAAUUACCCCCUAACUUAACAUUUUAUAUAUCGCCAUUGAAACUUUACUUAAGGUAGAAUUACUUAAGAUCUAAGCUUAGUCAACAGGUCAAGAUAUAAGUCAUGGUUAGGUGAGAUAUUGCCUGCAAAUAUCAACAAUUAAUUAAACUAAUCAUUAACUCAACAGUUUAAAUCAGGAUCCGAUUGUAACCAUGUCUACCUAUAACAUUAUGACCUGCCAAAUUUCUUACGCACAUAUUGCCCGUCAUCCUCAUAUGAGGCAAGUCGUAACAAAGUAGAUCUUCUGGAAGGAGGAC